GUGCUCGCUUCGGCAGCAUGUAUACUAAAAUUGGAACGAUACAGAGAAGAUUAGCAUGGCUCCUGCGCAAGGAUGACACGCAAAAAAAAUAAAUAAAUAAAUAAAUA
RNAcentral lists this small nuclear RNA (107 nucleotides) under Ovis aries (sheep). Lineage: Eukaryota; Metazoa; Chordata; Mammalia; Artiodactyla; Bovidae. The record is from RNAcentral.